CUCUCUCUCUCUCUCUCUCUCUCUCUAUCUCCCUCGCCGCUCUUCACUAUCUCUCUCAAUCUCAAUCUCACGCCCGUCAAAACCCCUUUCUCAUUCCCUCGCUCUCCCCCUCCCUUUCUCAUUCCCUCGCUCUCCGGGUUUGCAUGUGAUGAUUCCAAUAGAGAAGAUGCAGUGGCAGAGGUUCAAGGGGGUUUUAAUGGUGGACGCGGAAAGGAUUUUGGGGGCUGUCAGAUUUGGGCGAUGGCCUGACCUGAUGGGUUUGUGGGGACUACAAUGAGGGUGGAUUCGGCCUGAUUAGAUUGCAAUGGGCGACAUCUAUGGUCGAGGGUUGGAUGAGGACAGAGGUUUUCAGCGAUUGCGACUAAGGAGAGAUGGGUUUUCAGUUUUCAAUGAGGGGACAGUGGUGGGUUUCGAUGAGCGGAGAUGAUAGGUCUGAGUUGAUGCCGAAUCUGUAACCCAAUCGGAUCAGAGAUGGUGACAGAUUUGAGCAAAUGUCAGAUUUGGUGAGUGAAGAUGAAGAACCGAGCUCGAGCAGUGCCAUUACUUCAGAAGGUGAUGUCAGUGGCUAUUAACAUGCUGCUAUAUCUACAUAGUAUUUGGUCUAUCAAGUUCGUCCAUAGUUCCACAAGGCAUUUGUCCACCUUGGUCGCCUGAUGUUUAUAAGGCUGCAUGUAAUCUGUUGAAGGUGAGCCUGUUUCUGGUGCCUGCAUUUAGAAAUUAGCAUUUCACUCUUGAAAUGUGUUGUUCUGGUAUUGAUGUUGAGCCUGUUGAUGCUUAUGUUAUCUUUACAGGACCCAACCGAGCAAACUGGCAUUGAUAACUUCAUGGUACAACAACUUGAUGGAACAGUUAAUGAGUGGGGCUGGUGCAAGCAAAAGGUAUCAUGGUUGUUCCUCAUUUAUUUUUAUUUUAUAGGAGUUUAUGAUCCUUCCUGUUGGGGCAUCCACUUUCAAGGAAGCCAUGAAGAUGGGUGUCGAAGUAUAUCACCAUUUGAAGGCAAGCUUUUAUUUUGCUUAACAACUUCAAAAAUUGUCCAUUUAGGUCUCAACUACAAACUUUGAUUCCCACUUCUCCUUCAGGCUAUGAUUAAGAAAAAAU
This is an RNA transcript of Magnolia sinica, 1098 nucleotides long. RefSeq lists it as uncharacterized. The record is from RefSeq and is a predicted model, not a curated record. Lineage: Eukaryota; Viridiplantae; Streptophyta; Magnoliopsida; Magnoliales; Magnoliaceae. The transcript has 2 exons.